This 497-nucleotide ribosomal RNA is filed under the name uncultured bacterium. RNAcentral's name for it is "partial 16S ribosomal RNA". It matches the Rfam family "Bacterial small subunit ribosomal RNA", at positions 28 to 507 of the family's 1533-position model. The record is from RNAcentral.
GAUGAACGCUGGCGGUGUGCCUAAUACAUGCAAGUCGAGCGACCGCACGAUAAGCUUUUUUUCUUGCUGUUUGCGGCUGUCGGGUGUGUAACACAUGCAUCACCUUCUUCUUUUUCUUGGUUUAUUUCGUGAAUCCACUUCUUCUACCGCCUCAUAUUUUCUACCGCUUGGUUCAUAAGUUCUUCACGCUUUUCCUGUCUCUUUUAGCUGUUUUCGGGUUGCAUUAGUUAGUUGGUAAGGUAACGGCUUACCAAGGCAACGAUGCAUAGCCGACCUGAGAGGGUGAUCAGCCACACUGGAACUGAGACACGGUACAGACUCCUACGGGAGGCAGCAGUAGGGAAUAUUGCACAAAGGGCGAAAGCAUGACGGAGCAAGGCCGCGUGAGUGAAGAAGGACUUCGGAUCGUAAAACUCUGUUAUUAGGGAAGAAAAGAAGUGUAAGAAAAUGUGCACAUAGUGACGGUACCUAAAGAGAAAGCAACGGCUAACUACGUG